Molecule: ribosomal RNA, 461 nt
Filed under: uncultured bacterium
Lineage: Bacteria
Description: partial 16S ribosomal RNA
Rfam family: Bacterial small subunit ribosomal RNA
Source: RNAcentral
CCUACGGGUGGCAGCAGUGAGGAAUAUUGGUCAAUGGGCGGAAGCCUGAACCAGCCAAGUCGCGUGAGGGAAUAAGGCCCUACGGGUCGUAAACCUCUUUUGCCGGGGAGCAAGGGCGGGGACGUGUCCCGGCCCGGAGAGUACCCGGAGAAAAAGCAUCGGCUAACUCCGUGCCAGCAGCCGCGGUAAUACGGAGGAUGCGAGCGUUAUCCGGAUUUAUUGGGUUUAAAGGGAGCGUAGGUGGAUUGUUAAGUCAGUUGUGAAAGUUUGCGGCUCAACCGUAAAAUUGCAGUUGAAACUGGCAGUCUUGAGUACAGUAGAGGUGGGCGGAAUAAGUUAAGUAGCGGUGAAAUGCUUAGAUAUAACUUAGAACUCCGAUAGCGAAGGCAGCUUACCAGACUGCGACUGACGCUGAAGCACGAGAGCGUGGGUAGCGAACAGGAUUAGAUACCCCGGUAGUC